Molecule: long non-coding RNA, 504 nt
Organism: Hevea brasiliensis (rubber tree)
Lineage: Eukaryota; Viridiplantae; Streptophyta; Magnoliopsida; Malpighiales; Euphorbiaceae
Exons: 3
Source: RefSeq, a predicted model, not a curated record
CGUAGCUCUCUCCUCUCCCUCUCAUUUCCAUGAAAAGCCACCAUUAAAGCUUGCAUACAAGCUUUAAUUCUUCCACUCAAUUCUCAUAACUCCCCUAAAAUACCCUACUAAAGCUUGUUAUUACUACUAAGAAGGAGAUUACAAGGAAAAAGAAGAGCAAAAGUUAGGGUUUUGAAGAUUUAAGAAAGUUGAAAAGAAUAUCGGGAAGGAACCCGAGGAACCGAGUCGAGGCUAAAGGACGACUCGUUUGAGAUAUAGAGAUUAGAGGAGCAGCAGACUGAGCUGCUGAGGUGUGUGAAGUCAUCAGCUUGAAGUCUUCGGGUAUAAUUUAUACCCUAACUGUAAAUAUUUCUUUUGAUGUAUAUAUUGCACAUAAAUGUAUGGACAUGUACAUGGGUCUUGAGCAGCUUGUACAAAGUUUGUAUAAAAGUUGUAAUAAAUUUUAGUUUGGACUUCCUGAAUGUAAAUUUUAGUAUGAUGAAUAUAUAAAUUGUUUAUCUUGAA